GACGAACGCUGGCGGCGUGCUUAACACAUGCAAGUCGAACGGAAAGGCCCUGCUUUUGUGGGGUGCUCGAGUGGCGAACGGGUGAGUAACACGUGAGUAACCUGCCCUUGACUUUGGGAUAACUUCAGGAAACUGGGGCUAAUACCGGAUAGGAGCUCCUGCUGCAUGGUGGGGGUUGGAAAGUUUCGGCGGUUGGGGAUGGACUCGCGGCUUAUCAGCUUGUUGGUGGGGUAGUGGCUUACCAAGGCUUUGACGGGUAGCCGGCCUGAGAGGGUGACCGGCGACAUUGGGACUGAGAUACGGCCCAGACUCCUACGGGAGGCAGCAGUGGGGAAUAUUGCACAAUGGGCGGAAGCCUAAUGCAGCAACGCCGCGUGCGGGAUGACGGCCUUCGGGUUGUAAACCGCGUUCGCCUGUGACGAAGCGUGAGUGACGGUAAUGGGUAAAGAAGCACCGGCUAACUACGUG
RNAcentral lists this ribosomal RNA (468 nucleotides) under uncultured bacterium. Its description in RNAcentral is "partial 16S ribosomal RNA". It matches the Rfam family "Bacterial small subunit ribosomal RNA", at positions 28 to 507 of the family's 1533-position model. The record is from RNAcentral.